UCCUCGAUAGCUCAAUGGUAGAGCACGCGGCUGUUAACCGCGCUGUUGUAGGUUCGAGUCCUACUCGAGGAG
Transfer RNA from Collinsella tanakaei YIT 12063, 72 nucleotides. It matches the Rfam family "tRNA". From Rfam's summary of the family: Transfer RNA (tRNA) molecules are approximately 80 nucleotides in length. Lineage: Bacteria; Bacillati; Actinomycetota; Coriobacteriia; Coriobacteriales; Coriobacteriaceae. The record is from Rfam.